AAUAUUGCACAAUGGAUGGAACCCUGAUGCAGCGACGCCGCGUGAGCGAUGAAGGCCUUCGGGUCGUAAAGCUCUGUCCUAUGGGACGAUCAUGACGGCACCCUAGGUGGAAACCCCGGCUAACUACGAUCCAGCAGCCGGGGUAAUACGUAGGGGGCGAGAGUUGUCCGGAAUUACUGGGCGUAAAGGGUACGCAGGCGGCCAUGUAAGUCGGAUGUGAAAGGUCACGGCUCAACCGUGGUAAGCAUUUGAAACUGUGUGGCUUGGAUUAAGGAGAGGAAAGUGGAAUUCCUGGUGUAGCGGUGAAAUGCGUAGAUAUCAGGAGGAAUACCAGUGGCGAAGGCGACUUUCUGGACUUAAACUGACGCUGAGGUACGAAAGCGUGGGGAGCAAACA
This 396-nucleotide ribosomal RNA is filed under the name uncultured bacterium. RNAcentral's name for it is "partial 16S ribosomal RNA". It matches the Rfam family "Bacterial small subunit ribosomal RNA", at positions 360 to 774 of the family's 1533-position model. The record is from RNAcentral.